GGGCCCGCACAAGCGGUGGAGCAUGUGGUUUAAUUCGAUGAUACGCGAGGAACCUUACCAGGACUUAAAUGUAAGUUGCAUGAUUCAGAAAUGAAUCUUUCUUCGGACUACUUACAAGGUGCUGCAUGGUUGUCGUCAGCUCGUGCCGUGAGGUGUCAGGUUAAGUCCUAUAACGAGCGCAACCCCUAUCGUUAGUUGCCAUCAAGUAAAGUUGGGAACUCUAGCGAAACUGCCGGUGUAAACCGAGAGGAAGGUGGGGAUGACGUCAAAUCAUCACGGCCCUUACGUGUUGGGCUACACACGUGCUACAAUGGUAUCUACAACAGAGGGAAGCCACCCCGCGAGGGGAG
Molecule: ribosomal RNA, 350 nt
Filed under: uncultured bacterium
Lineage: Bacteria
Description: bacterial SSU rRNA
Rfam family: Bacterial small subunit ribosomal RNA
Source: RNAcentral